Molecule: ribosomal RNA, 253 nt
Filed under: uncultured bacterium
Lineage: Bacteria
Description: partial 16S ribosomal RNA
Rfam family: Bacterial small subunit ribosomal RNA
Source: RNAcentral
UACGUAGGGUGCAAGCGUUAAUCGGAAUUACUGGGCGUAAAGCGUGCGCAGGCGGUUCUAUAAGACAGAUGUGAAAUCCCCGGGCUCAACCUGGGAACUGCAUUUGUGACUGUAGAGCUGGAGUGCGGCAGAGGGGGAUGGAAUUCCUGGUGUAGCGGUGAAAUGCGUAGAUAUCAGGAGGAACACCUGUGGCGAAAGCGGCUCACUGGACCAUAACUGACGCUGAUGCACGAAAGCUAGGGGAGCAAACAGG